This 460-nucleotide ribosomal RNA is filed under the name uncultured bacterium. Its description in RNAcentral is "partial 16S ribosomal RNA". It matches the Rfam family "Bacterial small subunit ribosomal RNA", at positions 338 to 795 of the family's 1533-position model. The record is from RNAcentral.
CCUACGGGGGGCAGCAGUGAGGAAUAUUGGUCAAUGGACGAGAGUCUGAACCAGCCAAGUAGCGUGAAGGAUGACUGCCCUAUGGGUUGUAAACUUCUUUUAUAUGGGAAUAAAACGUUCCAAGUGUGGGAUUUUGUAUGUACCAUAUGAAUAAGGAUCGGCUAACUCCGUGCCAGCAGCCGCGGUAAUACGGAGGAUCCGAGCGUUAUCCGGAUUUAUUGGGUUUAAAGGGAGCGUAGGUGGGUUGUUAAGUCAGUUGUGAAAGUUUGCGGCUCAACCGUAAAAGUGCAGUUGAAACUGGCAGUCUUGAGUACAGUAGAGGUGGGCGGAAUUCGUGGUGUAGCGGUGAAAUGCUUAGAUAUCACGAAGAACUCCGAUUGCGAAGGCAGUUCACUGGACUGCAACUGACACUGAGGCUCGAAAGUGUGGGUAUCAAACAGGAUUAGAUACCCGAGUAGUC